Long non-coding RNA from Gossypium arboreum, 531 nucleotides. RefSeq lists it as uncharacterized. Lineage: Eukaryota; Viridiplantae; Streptophyta; Magnoliopsida; Malvales; Malvaceae. The record is from RefSeq and is a predicted model, not a curated record. The transcript has 2 exons.
AGUUCAUGUGUGGAUUUCAUCAGCAUAUCGUCGCAAACAGGUGUGUAACUAACACCCUCUUUCUUAGUCUAGACCGGCAAAAGUCGAAAAUCCGAAAUGCCGAAAACUGGUAUUUUGUAGAUUUGCGAGUGUGCGAAUGCUCGUGAGGUAAAUCGAUUAAUGUUUUUGGUAAGCUGCAAUGUUUGGACUACAAAGUGCAUGAUUUCUGUGCCCUCGAUAUUUUUGGGCUUAAUGGGCCAAAAUUGGAAUGAUGGGCCAACGGGCCCAAUUCGGAAAUCCCCAACCAUAGUGGGCUUAGAGCUGUGAGGGAAUUUGGAGUCGCCACCCGUUCUGAAAGUUUGAUUUUCUUCUGGUGAACUGGACAUCCUUUUAUUUACGUUUGAAGUUUUGGAUUUUUAAAUGUAAUAAGGCCGCUUAAUUAUUUUUGAUGGUUUUAAUAUGUAUUACUAAAAUAGGUAUUACUUAUUUUAACUGUUGAAAUUGGAUAGCUUUAGGGCACGUUUUCAAAAACAACAAUUGAUUUCAAAAUAA